This 81-nucleotide transfer RNA is filed under the name Desmophyllum pertusum. RNAcentral describes it as "tRNA-Pro". Lineage: Eukaryota; Metazoa; Cnidaria; Anthozoa; Scleractinia; Caryophylliidae. The record is from RNAcentral.
GACGCGGUGGCCUAAUGGUUAGCGUGCUGGACUCGGGACCGAGCGGUCCGGGUUCGAGCCCUGGGCGGGGUGACUGUGUUG